GUGCUCGCUUUGGCAGCACAUACACUAAAAUUGGAAUGAUACAGAGAAGAUUAGCAUGGCCCCCGUACAAGGUUGACACGCAAAUUUGUGAAGCGUUCCAUAUUUUU
Bos grunniens (domestic yak) is the source of this 107-nucleotide small nuclear RNA. NCBI's taxonomy places the organism in Eukaryota, Metazoa, Chordata, Mammalia, Artiodactyla, Bovidae. The record is from Ensembl.